UUGGAGUGUACAUCGUUAUCUGACAUGAUCACAUACAUGAAUUUGCUUAUCGGUUUGUUGUCUUUCUUUCCAAACUCAAGGCAAGAUUAUGCCAGUGGGGGCUGUGUUGGUUUUAUGCACUGCUUUACUCAGCACCACAACCAUGUCUGAAAUAAGGUGUAGUCAAUAAAUAUUUUUUAAAUUAAAGAAUUUAAAAAUCUGCAGAUAACCCCCAACUCAGCUUAAUUGACAAUCUCAACCUUCUUACUCUACAGCUUCCAAUAAAUGCUUAUGGGACUUGAAAAAUAAGUAGCAAAAUAUAUGAUUUUUCAUUUACUUUCCUAAUCCUUUCCUAGAAGGACAUGAAAAUAGUAGAAUUAUCUAAACACAAUAAAGGGGAGAAAGAGGAGGAGGUGCUAAAGACAUAUUUUUCAAGAACCAACAAGAUUUACUGAUGGAUUGUAUAUGAGAUGUAAAAGAGCAUGAAAAACAAAUAGAAUAGAGGUAGCCACUUACCAAGAGAAUGAAGACUGUGGUACAAGAUGAUUUGGAUAGUGGAGCUGGGGAGUUGACUUAAUUUAGUCUGUGAGCACAAUUGCAAGUGCAUUGUGCCCAAGGCCGUGUGCUGAGCACAAGGAAUGCAGAGUAGAAGACACAGCCCCUAUCCUCAAGAACUUAUGGUUGGGAAGGAAUGAUAGAAAACACAGGUAAGGUGAUAAAUUGUGCUGAGGUUGGAAAAGCUUAGUAAAUCAAAUGAAAAAUUAAAAAUAGCUUUAGGCUAUGCAACAUUUAGGUAUGCAGAAAGACAUGCCUGCAUUUCUUUCAUAAAGCUUUUUGGUAAUCUCAUGUUUCUAACUUAAGUGUUCUUGGAGUAAUGUGUACAUUAAGCAUUUAUCAAAAAAGUCAUUUCUCACGUGGGGAGCUAUGAAAUUGACAAAGUUUGGAUUUGAAGUGACAAAGCCCUUCAGGAAAUUCUUCUAAUAAUUUUCUGUGUUUGACACCAAUUCAUUAGAUAAGUAUGAUGUAGAAGGAAUGAGAGCUGUGUGAUUGUCAUUACAGGUUAUUCAUUUUUUAGGCUGUGUCAGGAGAGUCCCCAGAGUGUGGCUUGUAGGAUUUAUUUAACCAAAAUGAUUGUAUCAUUGAUCACCAAAUUCCUUCCUGAUGAACAGACUUGGAAGGAAUGUGGGAAGGGCCUGCUGCUCUAGACCUUAGUCCCACCAGUGCUUACAUAUUCCCAUUUAUCCUAACAACUGGGGAUUCAAAGGUCUACUAAUAUUCUGAGGCCAAAGCUGGGUAGUAUUAGAGGGAAUUUUGAUAUUUCAUUUAAGUUGCAGUUGAAUAGCCUUAACUUUCUGCACAACGAUUGGUUCUUUUUGGUGAAGGUUUCCUUUUUGAAAUGAAGAAAACUGCUAUAGGUCUGGCGCUUUGGCUUUAUAAAGGUACUGUUGUCUUUGCUUUUCAGGUAAAGAAACUGAAGCCUACAGAAAAGCUUAUUCAAGCCCAUGCAAAUAAUAAUUGGUGAGGGUGGAUUUGAACCCAGGUCUGAUAGGCUCUAAUCUAUGUAAACCAUAUUAUUCUGGCUCUCUCAAGGCUUGUGCUAUAGAAUCCAAGAACUAGAGAUGAACUGAGAGGUCAGGGAGGCUAAGCUUCUCAUUAAUGUUCAUCCAACUUCUACAGGAAUAAUGUCUUUAAUUAUAUUUCUUUUUUCCCAGCUAAAACAUACUAUAUUUCAAUUUGUAUUACUAUAUCAAUAACAUACAAAAAUAUAAAUAUCUUGGAAUAUUGUGGCAGUGGCAGAAGAAGUUUUAAAUAUCCUCAAUUUUUUUAAAAAAUAGAGCAAAAAGAUAGCAAAACCAAAACACAUGAAUGUCAUUAACAAAUUAAAUUGACAAAAAUAUGAUUUUGGGGAGACAAAUCAUUAAUAGCAACAAGGGCCCACAUUAUAUCAGCCAUAAUUUAGCAGGAGGAAGCUAAGGGGAGAAACAAAGCAGUUGACAUGCCUCAGGAUCCCCAAAUGUCCAACAUGUACUCAAUGGAAAGUAGCCAAAACUGGGAGAGGCUUUGUGUACUCUACUAGCAGGUGAAUAAAAAGAGUUAACAGUAAGAUCUAAAGGAGUGGAAUGGUCUGGGUUUCUUGAACAUUUGAAACUUCCUUCCAGGGUAGUCACUCACUGAGGACAAACUGUUGAGAGCAGGACCCAAACUGAGCAGUAUAAAGACAAGGGAAAGAGAAGGUAAAGAUAAAAGUGGAAGAAGUGCCUAGAGGUUUCAUGCAAAAUAAGACUCACACCACAUUGGACAGGCAGACCUGUAAACAAUUACCAUCCCUUUGUGGAUGAUUUUCAAUAUGUUUUAGACUCAGUGCUUGACCUUCACAACUAUAUUCGAAAGGUAAGUAUUGAAUUCUAAAUAUAAUAUAAGCAUUGUGCUAGAGGUUUAGAAUACACUAAGAAACCAACAGCAUGGUCCCUGCCCCUGGAGUCUUCUGUUAACAUUAUACAGGUUUCCAUACUAU
RNAcentral lists this long non-coding RNA (2494 nucleotides) under Homo sapiens (human). RNAcentral describes it as "HSALNT0290349". Lineage: Eukaryota; Metazoa; Chordata; Mammalia; Primates; Hominidae. The record is from RNAcentral.